Molecule: long non-coding RNA, 498 nt
Organism: Ipomoea nil (Japanese morning glory)
Lineage: Eukaryota; Viridiplantae; Streptophyta; Magnoliopsida; Solanales; Convolvulaceae
Exons: 3
Source: RefSeq, a predicted model, not a curated record
CCUUUCAACUUUAAACUUUGCUGACUCUAAAAUUUUGAAAGAAGAGAAGAUGGAAGAGUUGUUUGAAGAACUGAAGACUAAUGGUUCAAUAGGAUGGGCUGUUGAUGUCAUAGAUCCUAGAGAUCUAUCUGCCAAAAUGUUGAAGAAGAAUAAAAUAAACCUUAAUGAGAUAUGGCAUGAAUCUGCCAUGGGCCUGGUCAGGAGGGCAUUGGGCAUGGGUGUUUUAUUAUCAGAGGUAAAUUUAUAGAGUAUAAAUUUGACACAAUAUGCAUGCAUAUGGAAACUUGUGUUGAGUUCUCAAAGUCCAGCUAAUGAUGUAUAGUUCACUUUACAUACAAGGAAAUCAUUUAUGCUUCUUUUUCUUCUUCAUACAUAUGCUCAUCUUUUCAUUAUUUGCUUCAAACUUUUUCUGUUUAUUAUAAAUGCUUAGAUUGGGUAGCUCAAAGCUAACAUUCCUAGGGGAAGCAGGAUGAUGGUGAAAAACUAUCUAUCCAGUGC